This 200-nucleotide unclassified non-coding RNA is filed under the name soil metagenome. Its description in RNAcentral is "partial internal transcribed spacer 1". The record is from RNAcentral.
CCGAGUUUACAACUCCCAAACCCAAUGUGAACGUUACCAAACUGUUGCCUCGGCGGGAUCCCUGCCCCGGGUGCGUCGCAGCCCCGGACCAAGGCGCCCGCCGGAGGACCAACCAAAACUCUUAUUGUAUACCCCCUCGCGGGUUUUUUUAUAAUCUGAGCCUUCUCGGCGCCUCUCGUAGGCGUUUCGAAAAUGAAUCA